GCCCAAAAUCAAGCCUACAACCCCUAUUACACCCCCCCCCUUUUUUUUCCUAACUGACUAAAACAUUUUCUUAUUCUAGUAGAGGUGAUCGAAAAACUAAUCAGCGCUUUACACACAGUACCGCAAGGGAACGAUGAAAUAGCUUUGAAAUAGACUAAAAGCUAAAAAUAGCAGUGAUUACCCCUCGUACCUUUCGCAUCAUGGUUUAGCCAGCCCUAGCCAAGCAAGGCGGACCCAAGUUUGGCCCCCCGAAACUGGGCGAGCUACUUCGAAACAGCUCUUAGAGCCAACCCGUCUCUGUUGCAAAAGAGUGGGAUGAUUUCCGAGUAGAAGUGAAAAGCCUAUCGAGCCCAGAGAUAGCUGGUUAUUCAAAAAAUGAAUUUUAGUUCACCCUUAAGCCCCCCCCCCAUUAACCCCAAAAACCCCCCCCGCUUAAAAGCUUUUCAAUUAAGGGACAGCUUAAUUGAAAAAGAAUUCAAUCUACAACUUAGGGAAAGCUGCAAUUACCUUGUUAAGGGGGCUUGAAAGCAGCCCCCUUUAAAAAAGCGUUUAAGCUUAACACACCCCAUUAAUAAAAUUCCCCUGACUUCCCCGAACCCUACACCACAAUUGAAUGACUCUAUAAAUUAUAGAAGACAUAAUGCUAGAACUAGUAACAAGAAAAAGACCUUUCUCCAAAAUGUAAGUGUAUGUCAAAACGAACCCAUCAUUGACACCUAACGCCUUUGAACUUAAUAUACUAACGCACCUAGAAAACCCUAUCACACAACGACGUUAACCUAACACAAGAACAUUUCUGGAAAGAUUAAAAGAGAGAGAAGGAACUCGGCAAAUUUAAGCCCCGCCUGUUUACCAAAAACAUCGCCUCUUGAUAAAAUAUAAGAGGUCCAGCCUGCCCGGUGAUAUAAUUUAACGGCCGCGGUAUACUGACCGUGCGAAGGUAGCAUAAUCACUUGUUCUUUAAAUGGGGACUAGUAUGAAUGGCACCACGAGGGCUUUACUGUCUCCUUUCUUCAAUCAGUGAAACUGACCUCCCUGUGAAGAGGCAGGGAUACUACUAUAAGACGAGAAGACCCCAUGGAGCUUUAAACCCAACAACAGCCCAAACACCUACCCCCUCAAAGUUUUUAAAGUUUUGUUAGUUGGUUUUAGGUUGGGGUGACCGCGGAGUACAAACCACCCUCCACGACGAAUGGGCCUACCCCCUUACCCAAGAAUUACACCUCUAAGGAUUAACACAUUAACGUAAAAUGAUCCAAAUAUUUGAUCAACGAACCAAGUUACCCUGGGGAUAACAGCGCAAUCCAUUUUUAGAGCCCCUAUCGACAAAUGGGUUUACGACCUCGAUGUUGGAUCAGGGUAUCCCGGAGGUGCA
Molecule: ribosomal RNA, 1375 nt
Filed under: Euphlyctis mudigere
Lineage: Eukaryota; Metazoa; Chordata; Amphibia; Anura; Dicroglossidae
Description: partial 16S rRNA
Rfam family: Bacterial large subunit ribosomal RNA
Source: RNAcentral